AAAAGAUUAAAAGACUCUUUUACUGUUCUAUCUCAGGGUCCUUUCCUUCAUGUCUCUGGGUGGCAUAGGCUUGGCCUGGUGGUAUGGGUGGUCAGUCAGGCUUGGGAAGGUCUGCCCCACUCUGGUUGCUGUAAUGACUUUCAGUGGAAGCUGGAUCCAGACCCAAUUCUUUGGCUCCAAUGGAUGGAAUGUCUCCUCUAGGGGGCAGCAUCUGUUUCCACAUGUGGCAGGGCUGAAAGACAAAG
This is a non-coding RNA of Notechis scutatus (mainland tiger snake), 245 nucleotides long. The record is from RefSeq and is a predicted model, not a curated record. Lineage: Eukaryota; Metazoa; Chordata; Lepidosauria; Squamata; Elapidae.